GGAAAAAGAAAAAAUUAUCUCUGCAUAUAGAAAAGACAACCCCACCUUCAGAAAGGGGGAAGCCAUUAUUCAUCUGAUAUCUCCUACCUCCAUUUCCAAACCAAAAUCUCGUUAGACCACCAUCCGCGAACGACACAAAUUCGAGUCGCCGUAAAACAACGAUUCAACCAUUUUUCUUCGACCACCGCCGGCGUCUACAAACCGCCGUACAAACACCACCCAACCCUCAUUACCGCCACCACGAAAUCGCCGGUGAAUGCUAUCCAAAGCAAGCUACAACAACGUAACUCACAUCCCUUUCUUCCUCACACAACCGUCAUACUCGAUCCUCUUUCAAUAACAAAACACCACCAAAAAUCAUCUUCUGCCAACCGCCAUCAAACCGACAUUCCGGCGAUACCCUUCACUCAACGGCGAAGUACCGCCGUGACGAGAUCCCCGGCAACAACAAC
RNAcentral lists this long non-coding RNA (452 nucleotides) under Lathyrus oleraceus (garden pea). RNAcentral describes it as "Pisum sativum (pea) long non-coding RNA (PSAT_LNC025315)". Lineage: Eukaryota; Viridiplantae; Streptophyta; Magnoliopsida; Fabales; Fabaceae. The record is from RNAcentral.